This 253-nucleotide ribosomal RNA is filed under the name uncultured bacterium. RNAcentral's name for it is "partial 16S ribosomal RNA". It matches the Rfam family "Bacterial small subunit ribosomal RNA", at positions 524 to 776 of the family's 1533-position model. The record is from RNAcentral.
UACGUAGGGUGCGAGCGUUAAUCGGAAUUACUGGGCGUAAAGUGUGCGCAGGCGGCUUCGCAAGUCGAGUGUGAAAUCCCCGAGCUUAACUUGGGAAUUGCGCUCGAAACUACGGAGCUGGAGUGUGGCAGAGGAAGGUGGAAUUCCACGUGUAGCGGUGAAAUGCGUAGAGAUGUGGAGGAACACCGAUGGCGAAGGCAGCCUUCUGGGCCAACACUGACGCUCAUGCACGAAAGCGUGGGGAGCGAACAGG